RNAcentral lists this RNase P RNA (390 nucleotides) under Mucilaginibacter myungsuensis. Its description in RNAcentral is "Mucilaginibacter sp. HMD1056 Bacterial RNase P class A". It matches the Rfam family "Bacterial RNase P class A". Rfam says of the family: Ribonuclease P (RNase P) is a ubiquitous endoribonuclease, found in archaea, bacteria and eukarya as well as chloroplasts and mitochondria. Its best characterised activity is the generation of mature 5'-ends of tRNAs by cleaving the 5'-leader elements of precursor-tRNAs. The record is from Rfam by way of RNAcentral. Lineage: Bacteria; Pseudomonadati; Bacteroidota; Sphingobacteriia; Sphingobacteriales; Sphingobacteriaceae.
CCUGCAAAACGUUCUAUCGCUGUUCGCCGCAAGGCGGGCGGAGGAAAGUCCGGGCAACACAGAGCAUCCUGCUUCCUAACGGGAAGGCACCCGCAGCGGGUGACAGCAAGUGCCACAGAGAAUAUACCGCCUGUUAGUAAUAAUGGGUAAGGGUGAAAACGUGAGGUAAGAGCUCACGGCUUUCGCGGGUGAUCGCGAUCGCGGUAAACCUCAGGAGUUGAAAGGCCAAAUAGGUGUCGGACGCGGGGCUGCUCGUCCCCUUCACAACGUCAAGUUGGGAUGUCGGCAUGGGUAGGCCGUUAAAGCUGUGCGGCAACGUACAGAAAAGAUCAAUGAUAGAAGCUCCCGUCAAACGGAGAACAGAACCCGGCUUAUAGCUUUGCAGCUGAU